Molecule: non-coding RNA, 25 nt
Filed under: Cricetulus griseus (Chinese hamster)
Lineage: Eukaryota; Metazoa; Chordata; Mammalia; Rodentia; Cricetidae
Source: RNAcentral
CUUACACUUAUUAGAACUCUGAUGU